This 143-nucleotide ribosomal RNA is filed under the name uncultured eukaryote. RNAcentral describes it as "partial 18S ribosomal RNA". It matches the Rfam family "Eukaryotic small subunit ribosomal RNA", at positions 1299 to 1458 of the family's 1831-position model. The record is from RNAcentral.
UGGUGGAGUGAUCUGUCUGGUUAAUUCCGUUAACGAGCGAGACCUGGGCGUGCUAAAUAGGGUUCAUUAUUCUUGUAAUAGUGGUUCAACUCUUCUUAGACGGACUGUAGGCUUUUAGUCUAUGGAAGCUCCAGGCAAUAACA